Molecule: ribosomal RNA, 523 nt
Filed under: uncultured bacterium
Lineage: Bacteria
Description: bacterial SSU rRNA
Rfam family: Bacterial small subunit ribosomal RNA
Source: RNAcentral
UGGGGAAUAUUAGGCAAUGGGGGAAACCCUGACCUAGCCAUGCCGCGUGCGUGAAGAAGGUCUUAGGAUUGUAAAGCGCUUUCAGCGGGGAAGAUGAUGACGGUACCCGCAGAAGAAGCCCCGGCUAACUCCGUGCCAGCAGCCGCGGUAAUACGGAGGGGGCUAGCGUUGUUCGGAAUUACUGGGCGUAAAGGGCGUGUAGGCGGCCAAUUAAGUCAGAGGUGAAAUCCCCGAGCUCAACUUGGGAACUGCCUUUGAUACUGAUUGGCUAGAGUUCGGGAGAGGGUAGUGGAAUUCCCAGUGUAGAGGUGAAAUUCGUAGAUAUUGGGAAGAACACCAGUGGCGAAGGCGGCUACCUGGACCGAUACUGACGCUGAGGCGCGAAAGCGUGGGGAGCAAACAGGAUUAGAUACCCUGGUAGUCCACGCCGUAAACGAUGUCUGCUAGUCGUUGGGGAGCAUAGCUCUUCGGUGACGCAGCUAACGCAUUAAGCAGACCGCCUGGGGAGUACGGCCGCAAGGUU